Molecule: ribosomal RNA, 253 nt
Filed under: uncultured bacterium
Lineage: Bacteria
Description: partial 16S ribosomal RNA
Rfam family: Bacterial small subunit ribosomal RNA
Source: RNAcentral
UACGUAGGGGGCAAGCGUUGUCCGGAAUUAUUGGGCGUAAAGCGCGCGCAGGCGGUCCUUUAAGUCUGAUGUGAAAGCCCACGGCUCAACCGUGGAGGGUCAUUGGAAACUGGGGGACUUGAGUGCAGAAGAGGAGAGUGGAAUUCCACGUGUAGCGGUGAAAUGCGUAGAGAUGGGGAGGAACACCAGUGGCGAAGGCGACUCUCUGGUCUGUAACUGACGCUGAGGCGCGAAAGCGUGGGGAGCAAACAGG